This 477-nucleotide ribosomal RNA is filed under the name Candidatus Scalindua brodae. RNAcentral describes it as "bacterial SSU rRNA". It matches the Rfam family "Bacterial small subunit ribosomal RNA", at positions 365 to 832 of the family's 1533-position model. RNAcentral also lists the same sequence under 1 other name. Lineage: Bacteria; Pseudomonadati; Planctomycetota; Candidatus Brocadiia; Candidatus Brocadiales; Candidatus Scalinduaceae. The record is from RNAcentral.
UUCGCAAUGCCCGAAAGGGUGACGAAGCGACGCCGCGUGGGUGAGGAAGGCCUUCGGGUUGUAAAGCCCUGUCAGGAGUUAAGAAAUAUAAGUGCGCUAAUAUCGCAUUUAUUUGACGAAGGCUCCAAAGGAAGCCACGGCUAACUCUGUGCCAGCAGCCGCGGUAAUACAGAGGUGGCAAGCGUUGUUCGGAAUUAUUGGGCGUAAAGAGCACGUAGGUGGGUUUGUAAGUCAGAUGUGAAAGCCUUCUGUUCAACGGAAGAAUUGCAUCUGAAACUACAAGUCUUGAGUGUAGGAGGGGAGAAUGGAACUUCUGGUGGAGCGGUGAAAUGCGUAGAUAUCAGAAGGAACGCCGGCGGCGAAAGCGAUUCUCUGGCCUAUUACUGACACUCAGUGUGCGAAAGCUAGGGGAGCAAACGGGAUUAGAUACCCCGGUAGUCCUAGCUGUAAACGAUGGGCACUAAGUAGAGGGGUUUU